GCUGACGAGUGGCGGACGGGUGAGUAAUACUUAGGGAUCUGCCUUUAGGUGGGGGAUAACUAUUGGAAACGAUAGCUAAUACCGCAUAAUGUUUACGGACCAAAGGGGGCUUCGGCUCCCGCCUGAAGAUGAACCUAAGCGAGAUUAGCUUGUUGGUGAGGUAAUGGCUCACCAAGGCGACGAUCUCUAGCUGUUCUGAGAGGAAGAUCAGCCACACUGGGACUGAGACACGGCCCAGACUCCUACGGGAGGCAGCAGUGGGGAAUAUUGCACAAUGGGGGGAACCCUGAUGCAGCCAUGCCGCGUGUGUGAAGAAGGCCUUAGGGUUGUAAAGCACUUUCAGUUGCGAGGUAAGAUUGAUGGUUAAUACC
Molecule: ribosomal RNA, 371 nt
Filed under: uncultured Alteromonas sp.
Lineage: Bacteria; Pseudomonadati; Pseudomonadota; Gammaproteobacteria; Alteromonadales; Alteromonadaceae
Description: bacterial SSU rRNA
Rfam family: Bacterial small subunit ribosomal RNA
Source: RNAcentral